RNAcentral lists this ribosomal RNA (424 nucleotides) under uncultured bacterium. Its description in RNAcentral is "bacterial SSU rRNA". It matches the Rfam family "Bacterial small subunit ribosomal RNA", at positions 355 to 796 of the family's 1533-position model. The record is from RNAcentral.
UGGGGAAUAUUGGACAAUGGGGGCAACCCUGAUCCAGCCAUGCCGCGUGAACGAUGAAGGCCUUCGGGUUGUAAAGUUCUUUUGGUGGGGACGAUGAUGACGGUACCCACAGAAUAAGCACCGGCUAACUUCGUGCCAGCAGCCGCGGUAAUACGAAGGGUGCUAGCGUUGUUCGGAAUUACUGGGCGUAAAGGGAGUGUAGGCGGUUUGAUAAGUUGGAUGUGAAAGCCCAGGGCUCAACCCUGGAACUGCAUUCAAAACUAUCUUACUUGAAUUCGGUAGAGGUUGGUGGAAUUCCCAGUGUAGAGGUGAAAUUCGUAGAUAUUGGGAAGAAUAUCCGUGGCGAAGGCGGCCAACUGGACCGACAUUGACGCUGAGACUCGAAAGCGUGGGGAGCAAACAGGAUUAGAUACCCGUGUAGUCC